RNAcentral lists this ribosomal RNA (492 nucleotides) under uncultured bacterium. RNAcentral describes it as "partial 16S ribosomal RNA". It matches the Rfam family "Bacterial small subunit ribosomal RNA", at positions 29 to 507 of the family's 1533-position model. The record is from RNAcentral.
AGUGAACGCUGGCGGUAGGCCUAACACAUGCAAGUCGAACGGCAGCACAGUAAGAGCUUGCUCUUACGGGUGGCGAGUGGCGGACGGGUGAGGAAUACAUCGGAAUCUACUUUUUCGUGGGGGAUAACGUAGGGAAACUUACGCUAAUACCGCAUACGACCUACGGGUGAAAGCAGGGGAUCUUCGGACCUUGCGCGAUUGAAUGCGCCGAUGUCGGAUUAGCUAGUUGGCGGGGUAAAGGCCCACCAAGGCGACGAUCCGUAGCUGGUCUGAGAGGAUGAUCAGCCACACUGGAACGGAGACACGGUCCAGACUCCUACGGGAGGCAGCAGUGGGGAAUAUUGGACAAUGGGCGCAAGCCUGAUCCAGCCAGACCGCGUGGGUGAAGAAGGCCUUCGGGUUGUAAAGCCCUUUUGUUGGGAAAGAAAAGCAGCAGGUUAAUACCCCGCUGUUCUGACGGUACCCAAAGAAUAAGCACCGGCUAACUUCGUG